Molecule: ribosomal RNA, 460 nt
Filed under: uncultured bacterium
Lineage: Bacteria
Description: partial 16S ribosomal RNA
Rfam family: Bacterial small subunit ribosomal RNA
Source: RNAcentral
CCUACGGGUGGCAGCAGUGAGGAAUAUUGGUCAAUGGGCUUACGCCUGAACCAGCCAAGUCGCGUGAGGGAAGACUGCCCUAUGGGUUGUAAACCUCUUUUGUCAGGGAGCAACGCCCGCUCCGUGUAGCCGGUCUGAGAGUACCUGAAGAAAAAGCAUCGGCGAACCCCGUGCCAGCAGCCGCGGUAAUACGGAAGAUGCGAGCGUUAUCCGGAUUUAGUGGGUUUAAAGGGUGCGUAGGCGGAAUGCCAAGUCAGCGGUAAAAUAGCGGGGCUCAACCUCCCUCCGCCGUUGAAACUGGCGUUCUUGAGUGGGCGAGAGGUAUGCGGAAUGCGUGGUGUAGCGGUGAAAUGCAUAGAUAUCACGCAGAACUCCGAUUGCGAAGGCAGCAUACCGGCGCCCAACUGACGCUGAGGCACGAAAGCGUGGGUAUCGAACAGGAUUAGAUACCCCAGUAGUC